AUGGAGGUGAGGUCCGAGCAAGGGCUAAUGGCGGGAAGGGAUCUGUUCGGCUUGCCUAAGAGCCAGCCAGCGCCGGCGCCGGCAGCGCCAGGAGCGCCGCCGUCCUCCGCAGCCAUGCAGAGCGUGCGCAUGGCGUACACCGCGGACGGCACGCCCGUGUUUGCCCCGGUGAGCUCUGCGGUCGCGCCGCCUGGUUACCAACCGGCUGGGUCUGCAGCACCACCACAUGGCUCUAGCAUGUCCGCUGCUCGGGCCGCCGGAGGUAAUGGCGUCGCGGCGCCGCCGGGCAUGGGUGAACCGUCGGCGAAGAAGAAGCGCGGGCGGCCAAGGAAGUACGGGCCCGACGCGGCCAUGUCUCUGGCGCUGGUGACCGUGCCGACGGCUGCAGGCUCGCCAGCUGUGACACAGGGUGCUUCUGGGCGGCCGUUCUCACCCACGCUGCCGGGAAACUUCGUGCCGUCGGCGUCGCCGGAUGGAGGAAAGAAACGCGGCCGGCCCAAGGGAUCUACCAACAAGCCCCGCGUGGAUGGUGCUGGGCCGGCAGGAGUUGGAUUCACACCUCAUGUUCUUACAGUUCAAGCUGGAGAGGAUGUAUCGUCAAAGAUUAUGUCAUUUUCUCAGAAUGGGACUCGUGCAGUUUGUGUUCUCUCAGCAAAUGGUUCCAUAUCAAAUGUAACACUUCGUCAAACUGGUACAUCAGGUGGAACUGUAACAUAUGAGGGCCGAUUUGAGAUACUGUCACUCUCCGGGUCAAUCUUCGUAACGGACAACGGAGGCCAGCGUACCCGAACAGGGGGCCUCAGCGUUUCAUUGGCAGGUCCUGACGGUCGUCUCUUGGGUGGAGGGGUCGCAGGACUCCUCAUAGCAGCUUCUCCAAUCCAGAUAGUAGUGGGAAGCUUCAAUGCUGGUGGGAAAAAAGAGCCAAAGCCGCAGGCUCCUUCUGAACCUGUACCACUGAAGGUCGUUCCGAGCACUGGGAUGGCGGCCAACAGCCCCCCUUCAAGAGGCACAUUGAGCGAAUCGUCUGGUGGCACCGCAAGCCCGAGACAUCAAGGCUAUGCGUCCACCAACAAUAACCAGCCGCCGAUCUUGUCCAGCAUGCCCUGGAAAUGA
RNAcentral lists this ribosomal RNA (1113 nucleotides) under Triticum aestivum (bread wheat). RNAcentral's name for it is "partial small subunit ribosomal RNA". The record is from RNAcentral. Lineage: Eukaryota; Viridiplantae; Streptophyta; Magnoliopsida; Poales; Poaceae.